AGAGCACAAAGUCACCCUAUGAGCACUUCCAUUGGAUUGAUUUUCAAUUGGUUUCAAUCAAAGUUUUUAAUCAGGGUGACGUUUUACCAAACUUGUAAUUUGCUACUCCACCUAUCUAGAAAAAACGUAAUCCAGGGGAUGAAGCUGAGCAUAAAAAAAAUAAAUUGGAUGUACUUUGAACGAUACUAUCGAUAAAAUUAUGUUGACCAUCAAGUGAUGAAUAUAAAAAAAGGUAACACGAGAUAGCAGUGGGUAUACGAAAAUAGAAAGAGAGAUUGAAUUAUGAGUGGCGGUAAGUAGAGGAGAGCCAUUCAACAAGAUUUUCAUCGCUGAGAUCUGGAACCUUGGCCUAUUUAAACGUUUUUUUUCCAUUAGUGUUGCUUGGAGGACAACACUCAUCCUUAUAUGAGUUACGAUUGGCUGCGUUAAAUCGAAUUACCGCGAAUUUAGCAAAUUAGUGGGUGCUAGCAUUAUAUAUUUUGUCAGCUUACAUUUAAACGUAUAAGGACUACAUGAAAACAGUGGCAACUUGCCAUUCAAAUUUUUAAAAAAUUUAAUCCUUGAAAGUCAAUUCUCCAGAUUUUAUUAUCAUCAUUUAAACAUAUAGUUUUUGUAAUAUGGAAAAUGAAAAAUAAUUUCAAGGUACACUCCAACAGACUUGGCAAUCAUAAAUAUUAAAUUAAAUUACUUGUUUAUCUUGAUAGUCUAAUGAAAAAAUAACAUUAAGUUAAUUUUCUAACAAAGAUUAAUUGAUUUGAGUUUUUAAAUACAUCCGAGUUUUCAUAAGACACCUAAAUAAUUUACAUUCGAAUCAUAUUGAACGUUGGAUACUCUAUUAAAGUAAAAUUUUCAUGUAGUUAUCGCGCUGAAAUUAAUGAAGGGUUAAAUUGCUGUUGCUAAAAUGAGAUAUUCCAUCGGUUCCCAAGAGACCCAUUGGUUGGAUGGUUUUGUUCCUACAUCUGCGAAUUGCCAAUACUUGGGCAGUAUAUAUAUCAUCAACAGGAAACUCCUCUCGAGAACUUCCGGGACCCGUGUGAUCCAUCAUACUCGCAAUGCUUUUCAAUCCAUUGGAAAUAAAUGAUAUUCAUAUGUGAAAAAGCAAUUUAAUCCACUUAACAAAAAAAAAACAUUAUUCAGAUAAAAUUGUUUGCGGUUACGAUGACAAUAAAAAUAUCAGAGUGUAAACAGACAAAUUAUUAAUGGUUGAUAUAAUAACGCGUCAUAGUGGGAAUUCUGUUACACAAUGUGGAUGACACGGGAUGGCACACGAUUUGUUAUUAAAAUUUUCGCUUUUCACUCCCACACCCAGUGGUCUCUGUGUUAUAUAUAAAUAUAUGACGGUUAAAAAAAUUCAAAUAUCAGCGAGUUGAACCAGGCCAGCUUCCACAAUUAUCCAGCUUAUUAUUAUUUGGGUGAAAAAAUAAAGAUGAAAGGAGAUAGACCAGAAAACAAAAUGAAAAUAAAGUCGAGUGUUGAUUUUGUUUUUUGCGUCGAAAAAAAUUCACCAUCAAGAUGCUUUGAUAAUACAUUUUUAAACAAAACAUUGUUGAUUUUUUUACAGCAACUAAAGGUGACGUCAGAAAGGAAAAAAGCUCCUGGAGGUAUUCGAUGUUGUUUCGGAGAGAUAUCACUGAGAUAAAAGGAGAUGCAACAUCCGGAAGAGCAUGUAAGCCUGAGGGAAAUCACCAAGUAUGUAAAGAGAGCUAGAUCGCCGCACUGAGUCACAUCUUUAGAGUUUUAUAAAUGUCUUUUGCUAUUAUUUAAAAGUCACCUUUUGUGUAAUUCUAUAAAAAGGUAUUUUUUUUUAAACCCGACAUUAAUAAUGUCGUUACGUAAAUCAUAGUGCAGUAGCUUAUUAUUUAGUAAGUUAAGUUGGAAGCAACUUCGUUAAGCUUCGAUAAAUUACUCGCUUGACUUCACCACUUGAUGUGCAUUCUGAUUGCUUUCAUUUCCCUUCUACAAUGACACCGUGACCUGGUGAACUCUCGCCCUCUUCUCGCCGAGUUUCUCACUUUAGCAUAUAUAUAUAUCAACAUAACUUCUCCUUUCAACGAUAUUUUUUAGUGAAUUAUUUUCAGGGAUAAGGACACUUUAAUUUAUUUUUCCUUACUCUGUUGGAAAUUAAAUUUUAAGACUCUUUAUGCAGCCAACAUUAAAAACACCUACAGCCACAGAAAAAUCUUACGACCAUGAAAAUAUUAAGUAUUUUCUACUGAUAGUAGCCGACUAAUAUCCGCGUAACAUGAAACGGCUGGAUUACUUCAAUGGAUCAAGGAUAGAAGAAGAAUAAAAAUAUAUAACCUUUAUUUAUUUAUUAUAAUAUAGAGUAAUAGCAUAGAAAUGUUAUAAAAAAAAUUACUCCAUAGAGCUGGAACGAAAGUAACAUGUAUAGAGUUACUAUAUUUAGACGUCAAUGUUCACAUAUUGAAGAUUUCAUUCAUCAUUUUCAUUCAUACGUGUAAGUAGUCUUCUGAAGUACUCGGACAAUCGUCUUGAU
This is a long non-coding RNA of Microplitis mediator, 2497 nucleotides long. RefSeq lists it as uncharacterized. The record is from RefSeq and is a predicted model, not a curated record. The transcript has 5 exons. Lineage: Eukaryota; Metazoa; Arthropoda; Insecta; Hymenoptera; Braconidae.